Molecule: long non-coding RNA, 380 nt
Organism: Papilio polytes (common Mormon)
Lineage: Eukaryota; Metazoa; Arthropoda; Insecta; Lepidoptera; Papilionidae
Exons: 3
Source: RefSeq, a predicted model, not a curated record
GAGGCGGCGUUGCGCAAGCGCAUGGUCGCGAGCGCCGGCGACGUCGGCGAGCAUUCGCCACGCCACCAGAACGAAUGCAGACGGACCCGCGUUCUGCAUGACUUUGCCCAUCAAUGAAUGUGUGAAAGUCGACUGCUUGCGCCGGUUCCAUGACCAGUCUCUUCAUUGUUUCGACGUGUGGUGAGCCCAAAGAUGCGCGCCCGAGCGGGUAAUUCUGCGGUGGGUGCGAGCGUCGCGGGCCGCGGUUUGCAGCCACGCGCUGCGGCCCUUGCCUUUGACGCUUCUGAAUGAGCUUUGUACACAGUCCUGGUAUAAAGUGGCUAAGUUAACUUGUAAUUGCUCUGUUUUCUUAACAAAUAUUUUCUAACUCAAGAUAUUUU